RNAcentral lists this RNase P RNA (455 nucleotides) under uncultured Corynebacterium sp. Its description in RNAcentral is "Bacterial RNase P class A". It matches the Rfam family "Bacterial RNase P class A". From Rfam's summary of the family: Ribonuclease P (RNase P) is a ubiquitous endoribonuclease, found in archaea, bacteria and eukarya as well as chloroplasts and mitochondria. Its best characterised activity is the generation of mature 5'-ends of tRNAs by cleaving the 5'-leader elements of precursor-tRNAs. Lineage: Bacteria; Bacillati; Actinomycetota; Actinomycetes; Mycobacteriales; Corynebacteriaceae. The record is from RNAcentral.
AGGUGGCUGGGUGAUCGCGGCACCGGGAACCACCCCCCUAGACGGGGACAGGCCAGGUGCGGAGGAAAGUCCGGACUCCACAGAGCACGGUGGUUGCUAACGGCAACCCGGGGCGACCCGCGGGAUAGUGCCACAGAAAUAAACCGCCAGCCCGCUCAACCGCCCUUCGGGGCGGGUGGCUGGUAAGGGUGAAAAGGUGCGGUAAGAGCGCACCAGCACCGUAGGUGACUGCGGUGGCUAGGUAAACCCCACCGGGAGCAAGGUCAAGUGACCGCACCCAGGCUUGAAGAAGGCCAGCGGUGCGGUGGUGUUUCAAGGGCUGCUCGUCCGCAAAAAGAAACAGGUAGGCCGCUUGAGGCGCGCCAGCAAUGGUGCGUCCAGAUGGAUGAUCGCCACGCGCGGAAAAGAGGUGCUCCCUCACCGGGCGAAACAGAAUCCGGCUCAUAGGCUGCCUC